Molecule: ribosomal RNA, 492 nt
Filed under: uncultured bacterium
Lineage: Bacteria
Description: partial 16S ribosomal RNA
Rfam family: Bacterial small subunit ribosomal RNA
Source: RNAcentral
AGUGAACGCUGGCGGUAGGCCUAACACAUGCAAGUCGAACGGCAGCACAGUAAGAGCUUGCUCUUACGGGUGGCGAGUGGCGGACGGGUGAGGAAUACAUCGGAAUCUACUUUUUCGUGGGGGAUAACGUAGGGAAACUUACGCUAAUACCGCAUACGACCUACGGGUGAAAGCAGGGGACCUUCGGCCCUUGGGGGAUUAAAUGGGCGGAUGUCGGAUUGGUAAGUUGGCGGGGUAAAGGCCAACCAAGGCGACGAUCCGUAGCUGGUCUGAGAGGAUGAUCAGCCACACUGGAACUGAGACACGGUCCAGACUCCUACGGGAGGCAGCAGUGGGGAAUAUUGGACAAUGGGCGCAAGCCUGAUCCAGCCAUACCGCGUGGGUGAAGAAGGCCUUCGGGUUGUAAAGCCCUUUUGUUGGGAAAGAAAAGCAGCAGGUUAAUACCCCGCUGUUCUGACGGUACCCAAAGAAUAAGCACCGGCUAACUUCGUG